GCGCGUGAGGACUUCGGCGCGCGCCGGAAGCACGUGCGCGGGCUGGGCGCUCUGGCGGUGUGCGCUGAGGCUCCUGAGUAUAACAGAUUGGUUCUGAUUAAAACCAUUUCAGAGGAAAGACAGUGAUCCCAGGAAGCGGGAAGAAAACAGCAUCACCUGAAGUUAUUCCUAUUCGUUAGAUUUGUUUUCUUCCUGCGAAAAACUGCUAUGUACAAGAAAGAAGUCAGUGAGCUGCAGUGAUAGUUAGCAUUAUUGACUGAAACUGGACCAGAGAUCCCUGAAACCUGGACAAGGUGGUAGAAAUACAAAUUAUGCUGCCAUUUCAAAGCUG
RNAcentral lists this long non-coding RNA (331 nucleotides) under Homo sapiens (human). Its description in RNAcentral is "non-protein coding lnc-CCSAP-1:8". Lineage: Eukaryota; Metazoa; Chordata; Mammalia; Primates; Hominidae. The record is from RNAcentral.